CCUACGGGAGGCUGCAGUGGGGAAUAUUGCACAAUGGGCGCAAGCCUGAUGCAGCCAUGCCGCGUGUGUGAAGAAGGCCUUCGGGUUGUAAAGCACUCUCAGCGGGGAGGAAGGCGGUGAGGUUAAUAACCUCAUCGAUUGACGUUACCCGCAGAAGAAGCACCGGCUAACUCCGUGCCAGCAGCCGCGGUAAUACGGAGGGUGCAAGCGUUAAUCGGAAUUACUGGGCGUAAAGCGCACGCAGGCGGUCUGUCAAGUCGGAUGUGAAAUCCCCGGGCUCAACCUGGGAACUGCAUUCGAAACUGGCAGGCUAGAGUCUUGUAGAGGGGGGUAGAAUUCCAGGUGUAGCGGUGAAAUGCGUAGAGAUCUGGAGGAAUACCGGUGGCGAAGGCGGCCCCCUGGACAAAGACUGACGCUCAGGUGCGAAAGCGUGGGGAGCAAACAGGAUUAGAUACCCGGGUAGUC
Molecule: ribosomal RNA, 465 nt
Filed under: uncultured Klebsiella sp.
Lineage: Bacteria; Pseudomonadati; Pseudomonadota; Gammaproteobacteria; Enterobacterales; Enterobacteriaceae
Description: bacterial SSU rRNA
Rfam family: Bacterial small subunit ribosomal RNA
Source: RNAcentral